GCUGCCACCCACCUCCUCCUGAUCAGAGGACCAUCCCUAUCCUGGGCAGUCCUAGCAAUCUGCACGCUGGGAGCAGCCCCCUAGGGGAUAUCCUGGUCCUGGGGGACCCAUCUGGCUUCAUUGUGUGGAGGGGCUGAGCCAGCAAAUACUUGCCCAGUAGUGUUCGUGUGCAAGGCAUUGUAAGAACCUCUACAGAUCCAGCCAUGGAUAAGGCAGCAUCCCUCUCCAGCUGGAGCGCACUUGUUGGCAGGAGAGAAAGACCUAAUAACCAAUGCAUGAUUAGUUCUUUAAUAAACAGCUGUGACAAGGUUGAUAAUAUUUGGUAAUCACUGUUCUUUAUAUAGCAUUGACCAUGCACCACC
Molecule: non-coding RNA, 362 nt
Organism: Callithrix jacchus (white-tufted-ear marmoset)
Lineage: Eukaryota; Metazoa; Chordata; Mammalia; Primates; Cebidae
Source: RefSeq, a predicted model, not a curated record